This 1372-nucleotide ribosomal RNA is filed under the name uncultured bacterium. Its description in RNAcentral is "bacterial SSU rRNA". It matches the Rfam family "Bacterial small subunit ribosomal RNA", at positions 28 to 1381 of the family's 1533-position model. The record is from RNAcentral.
GAUGAACGCUGGCGGCGUGCCUAAUACAUGCAAGUCGAGCGAACGGACGAGAAGCUUGCUUUUCUGAUGUUAGCGGCGGACGGGUGAGUAACACGUGGAUAACCUACCUAUAAGACUGGGAUAACUUCGGGAAACCGGAGCUAAUACCGGAUAAUAUUUUGAACCGCAUGGUUCAAAAGUGAAAGACGGUCUUGCUGUCACUUAUAGAUGGAUCCGCGCUGCAUUAGCUAGUUGGUAAGGUAACGGCUUACCAAGGCAACGAUGCAUAGCCGACCUGAGAGGGUGAUCGGCCACACUGGAACUGAGACACGGUCCAGACUCCUACGGGAGGCAGCAGUAGGGAAUCUUCCGCAAUGGGCGAAAGCCUGACGGAGCAACGCCGCGUGAGUGAUGAAGGUCUUCGGAUCGUAAAACUCUGUUAUUAGGGAAGAACAUAUGUGUAAGUAACUGUGCACAUCUUGACGGUACCUAAUCAGAAAGCCACGGCUAACUACGUGCCAGCAGCCGCGGUAAUACGUAGGUGGCAAGCGUUAUCCGGAAUUAUUGGGCGCAAAGCGCGCGUAGGCGGUUUUUUAAGUCUGAUGUGAAAGCCCACGGCUCAACCGUGGAGGGUCAUUGGAAACUGGAAAACUUGAGUGCAGAAGAGGAAAGUGGAAUUCCAUGUGUAGCGGUGAAAUGCGCAGAGAUGUGGAGGAACACCAGUGGCGAAGGCGACUUUCUGGUCUGUAACUGACGCUGAUGUGCGAAAGCGUGGGGAUCAAACAGGAUUAGAUACCCUGGUAGUCCACGCCGUAAACGAUGAGUGCUAAGUGUUAGGGGGUUUCCGCCCCUUAGUGCUGCAGCUAACGCAUUAAGCACUCCGCCUGGGGAGUACGACCGCAAGGUUGAAACUCAAAGGAAUUGACGGGGGCCCGCACAAGCGGUGGAGCAUGUGGUUUAAUUCGAAGCAACGCGAAGAACCUUACCAAAUCUUGACAUCCUUUGACAACUCUAGAGAUAGAGCCUUCCCCUUCGGGGGACAAAGUGACAGGUGGUGCAUGGUUGUCGUCAGCUCGUGUCGUGAGAUGUUGGGUUAAGUCCCGCAACGAGCGCAACCCUUAAGCUUAGUUGCCAUCAUUAAGUUGGGCACUCUAAGUUGACUGCCGGUGACAAACCGGAGGAAGGUGGGGAUGACGUCAAAUCAUCAUGCCCCUUAUGAUUUGGGCUACACACGUGCUACAAUGGACAAUACAAAGGGCAGCGAAACCGCGAGGUCAAGCAAAUCCCAUAAAGUUGUUCUCAGUUCGGAUUGUAGUCUGCAACUCGACUACAUGAAGCUGGAAUCGCUAGUAAUCGUAGAUCAGCAUGCUACGGUGAAUACGUUCCCGGGUCU